Molecule: ribosomal RNA, 496 nt
Filed under: uncultured bacterium
Lineage: Bacteria
Description: partial 16S ribosomal RNA
Rfam family: Bacterial small subunit ribosomal RNA
Source: RNAcentral
GAUGAACGCUGGCGGCGUGCCUAAUACAUGCAAGUCGAGCGAACAGACGAGGAGCUUGCUCCUCUGACGUUAGCGGCGGACGGGUGAGUAACACGUGGAUAACCUACCUAUAAGACUGGGAUAACUUCGGGAAACCGGAGCUAAUACCGGAUAAUAUAUUGAACCGCAUGGUUCAAUAGUGAAAGACGGUUUUGCUGUCACUUAUAGAUGGAUCCGCGCCGCAUUAGCUAGUUGGUAAGGUAACGGCUUACCAAGGCGACGAUGCGUAGCCGACCUGAGAGGGUGAUCGGCCACACGGGAACGGAGACACGGUCCAGACUCCUACGGGAGGCAGCAGGAGGGAAUCUUCCGCAAGGGGCGAAAGCCUGACGGAGCAACGCCGCGUGAGUGAUGAAGGUCUUCGGAUCGUAAAACUCUGUUAUUAGGGAAGAACAAAUGUGUAAGUAACUAUGCACGUCUUGACGGUACCAAAUCAGAAAGCCACGGCUAACUACGU